AGAGUUUGAUCCUGGCUCAGGACGAACGCUGGCGGCGUGCUUAAUACAUGCAAGUCAACUGAGCUUAAGGUAGCCAUAUUUUAAGGGAGGUGGCGCACGGGUGAGUAACACGUAGGUAAUCUCCCUUUGGGUCUGACAUAAUCCCGCGAAAGCGGGACUAAAAUCAGAUGAUGCAGCGGCUCGACAUCGAGACAGUUGUUAAACCUUCGGGCCCUGAAGAUGAGCCUGCGUCUGAUUAGGUAGUUGGCGGAGUAAAAGCCCACCAAGCCUGCGAUCAGUAGCUGGUCUGAGAGGAUGAUCAGCCACACUGGAACUGAGACACGGUCCAGACUCCUACGGGAGGCAGCAGUAAGGAAUAUUGCUCAAUGGCCGAAAGGCUGAAGCAGCAACGCCGCGUGGAGGAUGAAAUACUUUUGUAUGUAAACUCCUGUAAGAGGGGAAAAAUAUACAGUUAAUACUGUAUUGAUUGUACCCUCAGAGUAAGCACCGGCUAACUACGUGCCAGCAGCCGCGGUAAUACGUAGGGUGCUAGAGUUGUCCGGAUUUACUGGGUGUAAAGGGUGCUCAGGUGGGUUUGUAAGUCAGAGGUGAAAUCCCAAAGCUUAACUUUGGAGCUGCCUUUGAUACUGCAAGUCUGGAGUUUGAGAGAGGGCAAUGGAAUAUCUGGUGUAGCAGUGAAAUGCGUAGAUAUCAGAUAGAACACCAAUGGCGAAGGCAGUUGCCUGGCUCAUAACUGACGCUAAAGCACGAAAGUGUGGGGAGCAAACAGGAUUAGAUACCCUGGUAGUCCACACCCUAAACGAUGAAUACUAGAUGUUGGUCCUUUUUAGGAUCAGUAUCCAAGCUAACGCAUUAAGUAUUCCACCUGGGAAGUACAAUCGCAAGGUUGAAACUCAAAGGAAUUGACGG
This 909-nucleotide ribosomal RNA is filed under the name uncultured bacterium. RNAcentral describes it as "bacterial SSU rRNA". It matches the Rfam family "Bacterial small subunit ribosomal RNA", at positions 8 to 916 of the family's 1533-position model. The record is from RNAcentral.